ACUGGUGAUGGUAUGUUCAGACCGUUCCACACGACGGACGGUCACCUCCGAAUGAUUACAAAUCCUGGAAGAACUCUGAAAAAUAAGCGUCCGGCAUAGUUGGCUAAGAGAAGCAUGGUGGUCUGACAUUUGCAAAAAAAUAUCGCCUCCACCCACAACCGAUACUACUCGACGUAAUCCACAGAACCAUGGUCUAAUUAGGAAGAACAUAAAUCGGAGAUUGUUAUUGGAUAAGAAAAAUCUUAGAAAUGGACCCCUCAGACUUCCUUA
Molecule: long non-coding RNA, 270 nt
Organism: Arabidopsis thaliana (thale cress)
Lineage: Eukaryota; Viridiplantae; Streptophyta; Magnoliopsida; Brassicales; Brassicaceae
Product: other RNA
Exons: 1
Source: RefSeq